CUAUUUUGAAGAUUGGCUUUUCAAACACGAGGAACACGGGAGGACUAGUGCUGUAGCAUGCCUGGGUAUGAUUUCGAUUUCACUCUGGGAUGUUGACUCUGGUCUGGCACAACUUCGCAAGUGCUUUCCCAUGAAAGAUGUGUAUGGCAUGAAAUAAAUAAAUGAUUUUUUUGGUGGAUAUGCAGUAUAAAAGUCUCUUAGAACCUGAAUGUUUAUCAUCAUUGACACUUUCGGCGCUUUCCGAACUGCCCAACAAGUGGUAUUAGAGUCAUGGUUAGACUCGUCAAAACCACGGGCGUGGUAUUUUGGCCAUGGAUGAAUCCAAUGCUACAUGUGGAAAGCGGUUGGAUUCAAUUGGACUAGAGAACACCGAAGCUAACCGUCAAGCAUGACGUAAAAUUAUAUAUGAAG
Vicia villosa (hairy vetch) is the source of this 411-nucleotide long non-coding RNA. RefSeq lists it as uncharacterized. The record is from RefSeq and is a predicted model, not a curated record. Lineage: Eukaryota; Viridiplantae; Streptophyta; Magnoliopsida; Fabales; Fabaceae. The transcript has 3 exons.